GCAGCCAGCGCAGGGGCUUCUGCUGAGGGCGCAGGCGGAGCUUGAGGAAACCGCAGAUAAGUUUUUUUCACUUUGAAAGAUAGAGAUUAAUACAACUACUUAAAAAAUAUAGUCAAUAGGUUACUAAGAUAUUGCUUAGCGUUAAGCUUUUAACGUAAUUUUAAUAGCUUAAGAUUUUAAGAGAAAAUAUGAAGACUUAGAAGAGUAGCAUGACGAAGGAAAAGAUAAAAGAUUUCUAAAACAUGACGGAGGUUGAGAUGAAGCUUCUUCAUGGAGUAAAAAAUGUAUUUAAAAGAAAAUUGAGAGAAAGGACUACAGAGCCCUGAAUUAAUACCAAUAGAAGGGCAAUGCUUUUAGAUUAAAAUGAAGGUGACUUAAACAGCUUAAAGUUUACUUUAAAAGUUGUAGGUGAUUAAAAUAAUUUGAAGGCGAUCUUUUAAAAAGAGAUUAAACCGAAGGUGAUUAAAAGACCUUGAAAUCCAUGACGCAGGGAGAAUUGCGUCAUUUAAAGCCUAGUUAACGCAUUUAAACGCAGACGAAAAUGGAAAGAUUAGUUGGGAGUGGUAGGAUGAAACGAUUUGGAGAAGAUAGAAGUUUGAAGUGGAAAACUGGAAGACAGAAGUACAGGAAGGCGGAGAAAAGAAUAGAGAAGAUAGGGAAAUUAGAAGAUAAAAACAUACUUUUAGAAGAAAAAAGAUAAAUUUAAACCUGAAAAGUAGGAAGCAGAAGAAAAAAGACAAGCUAGGAAACAAAAAACUAAGGGCAAAAUGUACAAACUUAGAAGAAAAUUGGAAGAUAGAAACAAGAUAGAAAAUGAAAAUAUUGUCAAGAGUUUCAGAUAGAAAAUGAAAAACAAGCUAAGACAAGUAUUGGAGAAGUAUAGAAGAUAGAAAAAUAUAAAGCCAAAAAUUGGAUAAAAUAGCACUGAAAAAGUGAGGAAAUUAUUGGUAACCAAUUUAUUUUAAAAGCCCAUCAAUUUAAUUUCUGGUGGUGCAGAAGUUAGAAGGUAAAGCUUGAGAAGAUGAGGGUGUUUACGUAGACCAGAACCAAUUUAGAAGAAUACUUGAAGCUAGAAGGGGAAGUUGGUUAAAAAUCACAUCAAAAAAGGACUGGUGUAAUUUAAAAAAAAACUAAGGCAGAAGGCUUUUGGAAGAGUUAGAAGAAUUUGGAAGGCCUUAAAUAUAGUAGCUUAGUUUGAAAAAUGUGAAGGACUUUCGUAACGGAAGUAAUUCAAGAUCAAGAGUAAUUACCAACUUAAUGUUUUUGCAUUGGACUUUGAGUUAAGAUUAUUUUUUAAAUCCUGAGGACUAGCAUUAAUUGACAGCUGACCCAGGUGCUACACAGAAGUGGAUUCAGUGAAUCUAGGAAGACAGCAGCAGACAGGAUUCCGGGAACCAGUGUUUGAUGAAGCUAGGACUGAGGAGCAAGCGAGCAAGCAGCAGUUCGUGGUGAAGAUAGGAAAAGAGUCCAGGAGCCAGUGCGAUUUGGUGAAGGAAGCUAGGAAGAAGGAAGGAGCGCUAACGAUUUGGUGGUGAAGCUAGGAAAAAGGAUUCCAGAAAGGAGCGAGUGCGAUUUGGUGAUGAAGCUAGCAGGCGGCUUGGCUUGGCAACCACACGGAGGAGGCGAGCAGGCGUUGUGCGUAGAUAGAGGAUCCUAGACCAGCAUGCCAGUGUGCCAAGGCCACAGGGAAAACGAGUGGUUGGUAAAAAUCCGUGAGGUCGGCAAUAUGUUGUUUUUCUGGAACUUAUGGUAACCUUUUAUUUAUUUUCUAAUAUAAUGGGGGAGUUUCGUACUGAGGUGUAAAGGGAUUUAUAUGGGGAACGUAGGCCGAUUUCCGGGUGUUGUAGGUUUCUCUUUUUCAGGCUUAUACUCAUGAAUCUUGUCUGAAGCUUUUGAGGGCAGACUGCCAAGUCCUGGAGAAAUAGUAGAUGGCAAGUUUGUGGGUUUUUUUUUUUUUUUUUUUUUUUUUUACGAAUUUGAGGAAAACCAAAUGAAUUUGAUAGCCAAAUUGAGACAAUUUCAGCAAAUCUGUAAGCAGUUUGUAUGUUUAGUUGGGGUAAAUGAAGUAUUUCAGUUUUGUGAAUAGAUGACCUGUUUUUACUUCCUCACCCUGAAUUCGUUUUGUAAAUGUAGAGUUUGGAUGUGUAACUGAGGCGGGGGGGAGUUUUCAGUAUUUUUUUUUUGUGGGGGUGGGGGCAAAAUAUGUUUUCAGUUCUUUUUCCCUUAGGUCUGUCUAGAAUCCUAAAGGCAAAUGACUCAAGGUGUAACAGAAAACAAGAAAAUCCAAUAUCAGGAUAAUCAGACCACCACAGGUUUACAGUUUAUAGAAACUAGAGCAGUUCUCACGUUGAGGUCUGUGGAAGAGAUGUCCAUUGGAGAAAUGGCUGGUAGUUACUCUUUUUUCCCCCCACCCCCUUAAUCAGACUUUAAAAGUGCUUAACCCCUUAAACUUGUUAUUUUUUACUUGAAGCAUUUUGGGAUGGUCUUAACAGGGAAGAGAGAGGGUGGGGGAGAAAAUGUUUUUUUCUAAGAUUUUCCACAGAUGCUAUAGUACUAUUGACAAACUGGGUUAGAGAAGGAGUGUACCGCUGUGCUGUUGGCACGAACACCUUCAGGGACUGGAGCUGCUUUUAUCCUUGGAAGAGUAUUUCCAGUUGAAGCUGAAAAGUACAGCACAGUGCAGCUUUGGUUCAUAUUCAGUCAUCUCAGGAGAACUUCAGAAGAGCUUGAGUAGGCCAAAUGUUGAAGUUAAGUUUUCCAAUAAUGUGACUUCUUAAAAGUUUUAUUAAAGGGGAGGGGCAAAUAUUGGCAAUUAGUUGGCAGUGGCCUGUUACGGUUGGGAUUGGUGGGGUGGGUUUAGGUAAUUGUUUAGUUUAUGAUUGCAGAUAAACUCAUGCCAGAGAACUUAAAGUCUUAGAAUGGAAAAAGUAAAGAAAUAUCAACUUCCAAGUUGGCAAGUAACUCCCAAUGAUUUAGUUUUUUUCCCCCCAGUUUGAAUUGGGAAGCUGGGGGAAGUUAAAUAUGAGCCACUGGGUGUACCAGUGCAUUAAUUUGGGCAAGGAAAGUGUCAUAAUUUGAUACUGUAUCUGUUUUCCUUCAAAGUAUAGAGCUUUUGGGGAAGGAAAGUAUUGAACUGGGGGUUGGUCUGGCCUACUGGGCUGACAUUAAUUACAAUUAUGGGAAAUGCAAAAGUUGUUUGGAUAUGGUAGUGUGUGGUUCUCUUUUGGAAUUUUUUUCAGGUGAUUUAAUAAUAAUUUAAAACUACUAUAGAAACUUCAGAGCAAAGGAAGUGGCUUAAUGAUCCUGAAGGGAUUUCUUCUGAUGGUAGCUUUUGUAUUAUCAAACUUUUUUCAGAUAACAUCUUCUGAGUCAUAACCAGCCUGGCAGUAUGAUGGCCUAGAUGCAGAGAAAACAGCUCCUUGACAGGUAUCUCUUCGUUAUCAGAAGAGUUGCUUCAUUUCAUCUGGGAGCAGAAAACAGCAGGCAGCUGUUAACAGAUAAGUUUAACUUGCAUCUGCAGUAUUGCAUGUUAGGGAUAAGUGCUUAUUUUUAAGAGGUGUGGAGUUCUUAAAUAUCAACCAUGGCACUUUCUCCUGACCCCUUCCCUAGGGGAUUUCAGGAUUGAGAAAUUUUUCCAUCGAGCCUCUUUAAAAUUGUAGGACUUGUUCCUGUGGGCUUCAAUGAUGGGAUAGUACACUUCACUCAGAGGCAUUUGCAUCUUUAAAUAAUUUCUUAAAAGCCUCUAAAGUGAUCAGUGCCUUGAUGCCAACUAAGGAAAUUUGUUUAGCAUUGAAUCUCUGAAGGCUCUAUGAAAGGAAUAGCAUGAUGUGCUGUUAGAAUCAGAUGUUAUUGCUAAAAUUUACAUGUUGUGUUGUGAUGUAAAUUGUGUAGAAAACCAUUAAAUCAUUCAAAAUAAUAAACUAUUUUUAUUAGAGAAUGUAUACUUUUAGAAAGCUGUCUCCUUAUUUAAAUACAAUACUGUUUGUCUGUAGUUUAGUGUUGGGGCAAUCUUGGGGGGGAUUCUUCUCUAAUCUUUCAGAAACUUUGUCUGCGAACACUCUUUAAUGGACCAGAUCAGGAUUUGAGCGGAAGAACGAAUGUAACUUUAAGGCAGGAAAGACAAAUUUUAUUCUUCAUAAAGUGAUGAGCAUAUAAUAAUUCCAGGCACAUGGCAAUAGAGGCCCUCUAAAUAAGGAAUAAAUAACCUCUUAGACAGAGGCAUUUCAUCCUUCAUGAAGCUGUUCAGGAUUUUGAAUUGCAUAUGAGUGCUUGGCUCUUCCUUCUGUUCUCCUAACUUCACAGAGAAUGCAGUUGUCUUGACUUCAGAUGCAACCUUAAAAUCAGUGACAAGAAACAAAUUCCAAACAAGCAACAGUCUUCAAGAAAUUAAACUGGCAAGUGGAAAUGUUUAAACAGUUCAGUGAUCUUUAGUGCAUUGUUUUUGUGUGGGUUUCUCUCUCCCCUCCCUUGGUCUUAAUUCUUACAUGCAGGAACACUCAGCAGACACACGUAUGCGAAGGGCCAGAGAAGCCAGACCCAGUAAGAAAAAAUAGCCUAUUUACUUUAAAUAAACCAAACAUUCCAUUUUAAAUGUGGGGAUUGGGAACCACUAGUUCUUUCAGAUGGUAUUCUUCAGACUAUAGAAGGAGCUUCCAGUUGAAUUCACCAGUGGACAAAAUGAGGAAAACAGGUGAACAAGCUUUUUCUGUAUUUACAUACAAAGUCAGAUCAGUUAUGGGACAAUAGU
Molecule: long non-coding RNA, 4747 nt
Filed under: Pan troglodytes (chimpanzee)
Lineage: Eukaryota; Metazoa; Chordata; Mammalia; Primates; Hominidae
Description: long non-coding RNA NONPTRT002702
Source: RNAcentral